AGUGAACGCUGGCGGUAGGCCUAACACAUGCAAGUCGAACGGCAGCACAGUAAGAGCUUGCUCUUACGGGUGGCGAGUGGCGGACCGGUGAGGAAUACAUCGGAAUCUACUUUUUCGUGGGGGCUAACGUAGGGAAACUUACGCUAAUACCGCAUACGUCCUCCGGGUGAAAGCAGGGGAUCUUCUGACCUUGCGCUAUUGAAUGAGCCGAUGUCGGAUUAGCUAGUUGGCUGGGUAAAGGCCCACCAAGGCGACGAUCCGUAGCUGGUCUGAGAGGAUGAUCAGCCACACUGGAACUGAGACACGGUCCAGACUCCUACGGGAGGCAGCAGUGGGGAAUAUUGGACAAUGGGCGCAAGCCUGAUCCAGCCAUACCGCGUGGGUGAAGAAGGCCUUCGGGUUGUAAAGCCCUUUUGUUGGGAAAGAAAAGCAGCAGGUUAAUACCCCGCUGUUCUGACGGUACCCAAAGAAUAAGCACCGGCUAACUUCGUG
Molecule: ribosomal RNA, 492 nt
Filed under: uncultured bacterium
Lineage: Bacteria
Description: partial 16S ribosomal RNA
Rfam family: Bacterial small subunit ribosomal RNA
Source: RNAcentral